CCUUGCUUCUCUUGAGAGCGGCGGACGGGUGAGUAAUGCCUAGGAAUCUGCCUAGUGGUGGGGGAUAACGUUCGGAAACGGACGCUAAUACCGCAUACGUCCUACGGGAGAAAGCGGGGGACCUUCGGGCCUCGCGCCAUUAGAUGAGCCUAGGUCGGAUUAGCUAGUUGGUGAGGUAAUGGCUCACCAAGGCUACGAUCCGUAACUGGUCUGAGAGGAUGAUCAGUCACACUGGUAACUGAGACACGGUCCAGACUCCUACGGGCAGGCAGCAGUGGGGAAUAUUGGACAAUGGGCGAAAGCCUGAUCCAGCCAUGCCGCGUGUGUGAAGAAGGUCUUCGGAUUGUAAAGCACUUUAAGUUGGGAGGAAGGGUAGUAACUUAAUACGUUGCUACUUUGACGUUACCGACAGAAUAAGCACCGGCUAACUUCGUGCCAGCAGCCGCGGUAAUACGAAGGGUGCAAGCGUUAAUCGGAAUUACUGGGCGUAAAGCGCGCGUAGGUGGUUCAGU
This 512-nucleotide ribosomal RNA is filed under the name Pseudomonadales bacterium HD-OI-02-2. RNAcentral's name for it is "bacterial SSU rRNA". It matches the Rfam family "Bacterial small subunit ribosomal RNA", at positions 78 to 584 of the family's 1533-position model. The record is from RNAcentral. Lineage: Bacteria; Pseudomonadati; Pseudomonadota; Gammaproteobacteria; Pseudomonadales.